This is a non-coding RNA of Peromyscus maniculatus bairdii (prairie deer mouse), 1267 nucleotides long. NCBI's taxonomy places the organism in Eukaryota, Metazoa, Chordata, Mammalia, Rodentia, Cricetidae. The record is from RefSeq and is a predicted model, not a curated record.
CUGGCUGGCGAAAAAGUGUCCGAUGAUCCUGACGAUCACUUCCUCAUUUUCAUCUGGGGUUUGGUCACGAGGCACGAUAACUUCUGCGCUUGUCAAGUUCUGGAGCUCGUUGACCUGGAAAGGCAGAGAAGGAACUCCUGUAGGUUUGACUGACAGAGAAAUGGGGGUGUAGCCCUAACUCCACGAGGCUCUGCCUCUCAGGCUGAAUGCUCCCAUUCUGCAGACACUCGUGCGGACUUCUAGUAAGAGCCCAGAACCUGCGCUCCCCGACCCCAGUUCCUGCCACUCAACGUCACUUCAUCAUCACAGGCCCAGAACUGCUCCAGUCACCUCCUCACCAACUUCCCAAAGAUCCGUCCCUGAGCCUGAGGACAAGAUGACUGGUGAUCGGGCCACUCGGUCAGCGCUGUGCGGGAACUCGGAGUCCCAGGGACGGGAUGUGUGGGCUUCCCUCCAGGCACGGGGCAGCUGCCCACCCGCCUCAGUUCUGCCACCCAUCUCAGCCACCACGCUCCACCAUCUGUGCACGCUGGCGAGCCUCGUGAUCUGCAGGUGACUGCUUCCUCUAAGGAACGUGUGUGUCUAGGCAAGGGCAACCGUGAGCCACCAAGACUGCACCCUGUUUUCAUAUGCCCAGUGCCUUUUCUCUAGAGCACUGGCCCAGCCGAGCACAGUGACAGCAGAGCAGAGCACACUCAGGAGGUGGAAGCAGGAGAAUCAGGACUUCAAGGUCAUCACAGGCGCCAAGGCUCUAAGCCAGGGUCUACCCUGGGACUUCAGGGUCCAGUGCUGUGUCCCAGCUUCCUUGGGAACACUCAUCCACUGCAUGGUGUCACCUUCACUGAUCUAGAAAGGAGGACCCUUCAUCGAGACCUCUGGAGACUCUUCUGGCCUUGUUUACUUACUCUGUAGCAUGAGGACAAAUGGAAGACAUAGAGUCCUGAGAAUGCUGUGGAGCGAUGCCUACAGGACUGAUCAGACCUGCGCCUGAACUCCCUCACUCUUCAUUUCCCUGAAGGCGCUAACUGGGAAUGACUCUGAUGAUCAGUAAGGUUGCUACGGGAGGAGGAGGCCGUGGAGCAGAAACAGGACAAUCUGGGCAAGUCUCGGCUGUCACACUCUGUAGCUUUGUGGCCAUGGGUAGAUAGUCAGACCUCCUGGCUCCAUUUCUCAUAAGCGUUAGCAAAUGGGGAAGUUAUUGCUGUGGUCAGCAGUAGCAGGUGGUCAGGGUCCUAGAGGUCAAUGGGAUUUAUAUCUUAGAGCUAGG